Potamilus streckersoni is the source of this 79-nucleotide non-coding RNA. NCBI's taxonomy places the organism in Eukaryota, Metazoa, Mollusca, Bivalvia, Unionida, Unionidae. The record is from the annotation of a GenBank genome assembly.
GAAACCUCUUCGAUGGCCUAGUGGUUAGAACGUCCGCCUAGGACGAGGGAUGUCGUGGGCUCGAUCCCCGGUCGAUUCA